AUGUUCUUGAUUUGUCUUUCUUUUUGUUCAUUUCAACGGUGUGAUUAUUUAUCUCAGCGUGCAAAGUAUCUUAGUUGCGAUUCUAUAUCGAAGGCCAGUGAUUAUAUUGACGAGGUUGAGUUGUUUUACCCGCCUGAGCAAUUGAAUUCAAUAAAAAUCAGCAAUUUCCUACAGCACAAAAUUCCGCUUAAGGUUGGCAUUCCUGUUAUGCUCCUUAGGAAUGUCAACCAAUCAUUUGGUUUGUGGAAUGGAACGCCGUUGAUCAUUACACGUCUUGGUGAAAGAGUGCUAGAGGGAGAGCUCUAA
RNAcentral lists this ribosomal RNA (306 nucleotides) under Triticum aestivum (bread wheat). Its description in RNAcentral is "partial small subunit ribosomal RNA". The record is from RNAcentral. Lineage: Eukaryota; Viridiplantae; Streptophyta; Magnoliopsida; Poales; Poaceae.